CUGCAGACUACUUGGAAAGUAAAGCUAAGGAAUUCCUCUAUUCUUGGAAUAUCAAACCAAGACAAAAAUUAUCCGAGGACGCAGCCCUUGUUGAUACAGGUCACACACAAUAGAUCUCUUGAACUACCACUUACUCUGAAAACGAAAAUUGCAAGAAACGAUACUCUGGUAAACUGGCAAAUGCGAUGGGACGCAAGUAGCAAUGGACUUUGGACCCACCGAUUAAUAUCAAAACUCGAACCAUGGAUAAACCGUUCUCAUGCCGGGAGACACUGAUACAUGUGAUUCCUGCGCUGGCAGCCUUACCGCAGACGUCGAAUAUUUAUUCUUCUACUGCUCCAAUUUUGUCCGAGAACGGAUUUUUCUGAGAGAUAUCUUUAAAGUAGACCCAACACCUGAAAAUAUUUUCUCAAAUAUGGUUCAAUCCUCAGAAAACUGAAAUGCACUUUCCAAUAUAGCAGCAAGA
This is a long non-coding RNA of Rhagoletis zephyria (snowberry fruit fly), 466 nucleotides long. RefSeq lists it as uncharacterized. Lineage: Eukaryota; Metazoa; Arthropoda; Insecta; Diptera; Tephritidae. The record is from RefSeq and is a predicted model, not a curated record.